UACGGAGGAUCCGAGCGUUAUCCGGAUUUAUUGGGUUUAAAGGGUGCGCAGGCGGGAGAUUAAGUCGGCGGUGAAAUUUUGCAGCUCAACUGUAAAAGUGCCUUCGAAACUGGUUUCCUUGAGUGUAGAUGAAGUAGGCGGAAUUUGUGGUGUAGCGGUUAAAUGCAUAGAUAUCACGAGGAACUCCGAUUGCGCAGGCAGCUUACUAAACUACUACUGACGCUCAGGCACGAAGGCGUGGGGAUCAAACAGGAUUAGAUACCCGCGUAGU
This 271-nucleotide ribosomal RNA is filed under the name uncultured prokaryote. RNAcentral's name for it is "partial 16S ribosomal RNA". It matches the Rfam family "Bacterial small subunit ribosomal RNA", at positions 524 to 794 of the family's 1533-position model. The record is from RNAcentral.